This 471-nucleotide ribosomal RNA is filed under the name Pseudomonas aeruginosa. RNAcentral's name for it is "bacterial SSU rRNA". It matches the Rfam family "Bacterial small subunit ribosomal RNA", at positions 1052 to 1523 of the family's 1533-position model. Lineage: Bacteria; Pseudomonadati; Pseudomonadota; Gammaproteobacteria; Pseudomonadales; Pseudomonadaceae. The record is from RNAcentral.
UCGUCAGCUCGUGUCGUGAGAUGUUGGGUUAAGUCCCGUAACGAGCGCAACCCUUGUCCUUAGUUACCAGCACCUCGGGUGGGCACUCUAAGGAGACUGCCGGUGACAAACCGGAGGAAGGUGGGGAUGACGUCAAGUCAUCAUGGCCCUUACGGCCAGGGCUACACACGUGCUACAAUGGUCGGUACAAAGGGUUGCCAAGCCGCGAGGUGGAGCUAAUCCCAUAAAACCGAUCGUAGUCCGGAUCGCAGUCUGCAACUCGACUGCGUGAAGUCGGAAUCGCUAGUAAUCGUGAAUCAGAAUGUCACGGUGAAUACGUUCCCGGGCCUUGUACACACCGCCCGUCACACCAUGGGAGUGGGUUGCUCCAGAAGUAGCUAGUCUAACCGCAAGGGGGACGGUUACCACGGAGUGAUUCAUGACUGGGGUGAAGUCGUAACAAGGUAGCCGUAGGGGAACCUGCGGCUGGAU